AGAACAAAUACUUUGGGGGCAACCCCACAAGUGGUCUGCGGACGGCUCAUUACAUCAGCAAUAAUCCACACGGCGGAUCGGGUGUUGCAUUGUACCCAACCCCGCAUCGGACAACCGGCCUAACCGGCCGGCUAAUACGUGGAUGACGCUCGUUGCCCCUCAAUCUUCCUCCUCGGAGGGAGACGCCCGGGGCGGCGGGCUCACUGGCCGAUACGAAGAUCCGCGCCCUGAAACACGGGCACCCAAAUGGACCGACGAAUCAGGCCAGUCGUCUGGCAAGACAUGGCUGAAAGGGAGCCUUUGACCCUCAAAGAAAGAAGGAAAGGAAGGAAGGAAGGAGGAAAAUCCUUUUUCUCCUCCCGACUCUCUUUUCUUUUCUUUACAAAAAAAAGGUCGGCUCCCGUUGCCGUGCGAAUUUCUGACCCAUCAGCUAGAUGGUGGUGUAGUGGACCACCAUGGCAUUGACGGGUAACGGGGAAUUCGGGUUCGAUUCCGGAGAGGGGGCCUGAGAAAUGGCCACCACGGCUAAGGCCGGCAGCAGGCGCGCAAAUUGUCCAAUGCCAACAUUUGGCGAGACAGCGACGAAAAGUAGCAGCGCCACCUGCCCAUACGGGCGGGCGGAGCUUGCAAUGGAUGCUGUACCCAAACCCA
This 651-nucleotide ribosomal RNA is filed under the name Teloprocta sp. Its description in RNAcentral is "partial small subunit ribosomal RNA". It matches the Rfam family "Eukaryotic small subunit ribosomal RNA", at positions 62 to 534 of the family's 1831-position model. Lineage: Eukaryota; Euglenozoa; Peranemea; Acroglissida; Teloproctidae. The record is from RNAcentral.